GGAAGGUAGUACUAGAAAUUUGGUGGAUUUGACCUUGUGGCAACAAGGGAGGUCACGUGGAGGUGUACAUUAUUGUAAAAGAGAGUGGGUGCUUUUAUUUACUAUCUUAAUUCAACUAACUUCAUUGAAACUACUGACUUUACUUCUUUUUACUUAUUCCAUACGUACUUUACUUUGAGAACUCCAUCCAUCCGACAUUUUUGUAUCAUCUAUGUUUCUAAAUUAAGAAAUCAUACGACCCUUUGGUAACUAUUUACUAUUUGUAAGUUGUUUGAGAUGUAAAUUAAGAGUGUAAAGGCACAAAGGCACAGUAAAUAAUAAGAGUUCUCAGAUAUAUCUUUUACUAGCUAAGAUAUAUGAAAAUAGUAUGAAAAAUAAACUGCACCUCAAAUGGCCCUUUAAUUUUUUUUUUUUUUUUAUCUUUUUAAAUUUUGAAAACAGACCUAUUCACCUCAUGCUUUUCAUAUAUAUUAAGUAAUAUAGUUGAAUUCUUAGUAAUAAAUAAAUAAAUAAACUAAAAAUUAUUGUUUUUAAUUUUUGGAAUGUGAUUUGAUUAAAAUCGUUCAAAAACAACACAACAAAAAUUACUUCAUCAAAUAGUUACAAAUGAGAUCUAAGUAAUUUAGUUUGAUAAUCAUUUUGUUUUUUUAAAAUUAAACUUAUAAUUAUUACCAAUACCUAUAAAAAAAUAGCUUUUUCUGUUUUGAAAUUUGGCCAAUAACUUGAUGUAAAUCAUUUUUAAAAAAAAGAACAUCAACAAAAAAAAAAAAAAAGAAAACAAAAUAGAGGUCUUAAAUAUUUAGUUUCCUUGGUGUCCAACACAGUCUUCAAGUUAAGUAAUUACAUAUUUAAAAUUAUAAGUUUUUAAUCUCACCAUAUUAUAAAAACCCAUAAAACCCUUUCAGAAAAAAACCCACAAAACCAAUGAUCUAUAGACAAGAUUAUCAUGAAUACCCAUCACAUAUUUAUUGAACCAAAAUAUGAGAAGGAAAGGUCACAUUUCCAAAACCUAUUCAUUCUUACAUUAAUACUUAUUAUACAAACUCAAGUUUUUCCCAACUUUAUAUAUCAUAAUAAAUGGACUCAAAUGGCUUUAAAAAAAUCAAAUUAUAUCUCUAUAUGAAAAACUGGUAUUUGGAAGUUCUUUUUGAGCAAUGAUUUAAAAUUUACUUAUAACUCAAUAAGUAUACCUUUAAUUUAUCCACCAAAUUUUCUGCAUGCAAGGUAUUUUUUUUACAAAAAAAUAAUAAGAACAUUUACAAAUACAACAUAAUAAAUCAAAUAUUCACAAAAUAUAUCAAAAGCUCAUAAACAAGUCUAUAUCAAUAUUUGUAUUUGUAUUUGAAAAAAAAAAAAGAAAAGAAAUAUACCCAUAUGGCCCAUGGGAUUUAAUUUCAAUAUUUUUUAUUAAAAAAUCCCUUUUUAGUCUUUGAACAAUAUUCAAGGAAACAUCAAUCUCAAUGAAAUACGUGUAAUUUUUUAAAUAUCUUAAAAACUUUAGGACAUGAAAUAUAUAUAUAUUUUUAGUUUUAAGUAUAACAUUGAAUGACAUUUAAUAAAUUUCUCAUAUAUCAAAUAACAUACUAAAAUUGGAUACAAAUAUAAUUUUUUUUUUUAAUUUGACAAUUUAAUCAAAAUAAAAAAAAAAUUAUUACGCUUUGCUUAGUCUAAAUAUAAUCUAACUUAACUAAAACACUAUGGAAUUAAGAAAUGGAAAAAAAAAACGAAAAUAAACGUAAAAGUUAAGUAAACAAACGAAAGCCUAAGAUGAAAACGCUCACAAUAUUUUAAUAAUCUAAAAACAAAUUAUAAAAAAAUGGAGCCAGCCGCGUGAACUCCAAUGUCGCCAGAAACGGCGGUUCAAUCAGAGAAACGAUCACCGUCAAAUACUAAACUAUUUCGACGACAAAUCCAAGAUUCCAUAGAAACCGGCCGGAAUACCGCUAUUGAUUUCCAAAACAAGGGCGAUACAAAAAGCGGUUUCCAGCCGUCAAUUAUAGAAAGAAAGAAAAAAGGAUUCGGGUUGGAAUUUAAAGAUGUAGAGAGAAAGAGAAAGCGGUACAUACCAUAAGUGAAACCGAGGAUCGACGGUGUGGAAGAGGAGUCGCCGGAGCAGGAGAAGAGAGAGGAAGUGUUGAAGGUUGGAGGGAAAGGGAAUGGAAAUAGAGAGAAGAGGGGGGAAAAGGUGUGUGGAGAGGGAAUAAGAAUUUGGGCGAUUUAAAAAGAAGGGAUUGACCAAUCAAAAUUUAGAGCGAAGGGAAGAUGGAACAAUGGAAUGCGCGGUGGUUUGGUUGCUUUUUAUAUAUUAUAAUAUUCCUGUUUUAUUUAUUACGUCAGCAAUGUCUUUUAUUUUUUUUUAAUAUAUAAUUUUUGGAUUAUUGAUAAUUAUUAACUAUGAAUAUUUUUAGAAUCAGCUUUCUAACCAUUUCCCAUUUCUUUCUUUUUCCCUUAUCUUUUAUUUUCAAAGAUUAGGUUUGGUUUUUUCUUCUUUUCCUUUUUUUCUUCUUUCAAAUAGUUAACUUAUAAAAUAGUAUAUUUUUUAUUUGAUCCUGUUUUUUAAUUUUUUUUGUUUGUCUUCUUAUAGCUUUCCACUUUUUUUUUUAAUUUAGUAUUUUUAUUUGUUUCUUUACUUCAACAAAUAUGAGCAUCAGAAUUAAAAUUUUAAAAUGUAUAUAUUAUUUUUUAUAUUGGAUUACCAGAAAAUAUCAUGUGCUCAAUCAGUCAAGAAAAUUAUAAUUGGAUACCCUCACCCAUUUUAGAAGCAAAACUAGCUUAGACGUGAAAUAGAAAUAAGAUUGUUUUUUAUUCGGAGGAGGUCAUCAGUUGGGCGGAUAAUGGAUUCGUCGAUGAAUCCAAUCUUGUUCUUCAUUGAGAGGCCAAUAACAAUUGAGAAGCUCCAAGAAACGUAAUUUUUUUUAGUCUAAGUUGUUAUGUGACUAACACUAGAUUUUUUGUGUUGUGAUUAUGGUAUAGAAAAUAGGGAUUUAGAUAUCCUUGAUUUUGAUCAAAAAAGGUUUGGGGAGAGGAAUCGAAUUGACUGGGAAUGAAAUUUUCGUGCGAUUCCAAAGUGGUAUGUGGAAGGUUGGUGAGAGGAGUUGUCAUGAUGGUUAUGAUUUUGGCGAAAGAUGGUGGAGAUGAUGGUCGAAGGAAGAACAAGAAAAAUUAGGAGGAAAGGGUAUUGCACACUCUGAUAUCAUAUUGAAUAGAGUUGGAAAUUAGAAUGCUUUCACUCGUUUUAUUCACUGAUCAAGAGUGAAAUUUAUAGUAAUAUUUACAACGGUGAUUGUACCUGUAAAAGGAACUAAUUUUUAACUAAUUAAGAACAGAAACUAACUAUUAAAAUAAACAAUUUUACUUCUUCUUAAAACUAACAGUUAACAUAAACAAUUUUACUUCUAAUACCUAUUAUUACAAACACGAGGAAUAAAAAAGACCUCCCAUAAACAUUUAUUUGUUGCAUUCAAUCGCAAAUUUCUUCCAGUAUCGUAGAGUUUCCUUUUAAUUCAUGAGUUAAAAUUAAAGAAUCUAGUUCAAGCUAACAUUGGAUAGCAUCAUUUUAUAUUCAAAAAACCUCCUCGGCCUCUGGAAUGGCCUUCAAAACCCUACCAUGGGAAUCACGAAUUGUGACACCGAAACCCAUCCUUCCCGUUGGAAGACUUGAAGCAUCAAAUGUUCAUUUUAAUCUCUUCUUCCUCCGGCCACCUCCAUCUUCUAAUCUCCUGAUCAUCACCCAAAUUCGACACUUUUCCCAUUCCAUAAUUAAUUAAUUUUUGUUCUCUUUAGGUACCAUGUGGUCAACUAAUGGCCACUUAUACUUAAACUAUUCACUUUUGUUCAAGUCACUUUAUAAAGGUAAAUAUGUACAAAAAUUUAAUUUGUUUUAUACCCAAAUAAGUUAAUAUUUUCAUUGUAAAGAGUUCAACAUUAAAGUGAAAGGUGAUCGGUGUUUUCUUAUAUAUCACACAUAAAUUCAUGAAACAUAAAAAUAGCAAUGAAAUUUCGUUAUCGUUGAUAUAAUAAGAAACAACAAACAUAUUAACUCUAUUCAAAUUCAAUGAAUCUAUUUAAUUAUUGUUGAUAUAAUAAAAAACAAUAAAGGUUUAUUUAUCCAUUUAUAUAUAUAUGUAUAUUUAGUUUUGUAAUCUUUCCUAAAACACCAAUCUAGAGAUAUUUUCAUGUUAGAUUAAAAUUUCCACCUUGCUUAAGACUAUAACAUUUAUAAGAAAAUAGUUUUGAAAUUGGCCGAAAAACUAUUAUUUUUUAUGAGAAAUAUUGUAAAUUUUUUAAAAAAGAAAUGGUUAAAAAGUAGAUUAUAACUACAAAAGGUCUUCUGGCAAAAAAAAAAUGAAUUAAAAAAAAAGUAGCUAAAAAUCAAAUGUUAAUGAAUUAGUCGUAAAAUUAAUUAGUCAAAACCCCCAAUCCCAUCUUUGUAACUCUUUCCAAAAGUAAAUUUCCAACAAAAUAACGAGAUUGUCUAAUAAUCUUAAAUUAAUUUUUCUAUAAUGUAAGUGACAAUAAAAUUAAUUAUCAUUUCAUCAACAUUAUCUAAUAGAUAAUAGAUUUGGGUGAAUUCACUAAAACUAAUUAAAGCCAUAAAUAACUAAGAGAAACUUAUUGUAUUUUAAUUUUGGCCAUCACUUUCUAAAGGUAAUUUGUAUUUUUUUUUUUUUCUUAAAGGAGGUGUUGUUAUCAGAUUAAUUACAUUCACAUAUAUAUAUAUAGAUAGAUAGAUAUUCUUUUUCUUUUUAUGUCUGCACGAUUUUAAAACAAGUUAUAUUGACACAUAACAUUACUAUCAUGUUUUAAUCAAACCAUUGGUUUUUGUCAAACUAUAUAAGCUUUUAAAUCAUCGUUAUUAAAUGUAAUGACCCCAUGGAUUAAUCAAAAUGGAAUUUAUAUUUUUCUAAAAUUUAUAUUCGAUUCAAAUCAACCAUAACACGUUCCUAUCAUGAUCAGUUCCAAAAAGAAAAUCAUAUAUGUUUAAUUCAUAAUUUUCCAUUUUGUUUGUAAGAGGAAAAAAUGAUUGGGUUUUGUAAGAAUGAUAAUAAAAGGCAAAUUAUUUAUACCUCACAACCCAAUAAAAGAAUGAUAAUAAGCAUUUAAUUAUUUAAAUAUUGUUUUACAAAUUCUUAUCUUAUAGUCGACACCUCAUCAUGGUGUUGUCACAAAACCCUUGUAAUUGUCAUCUAGGAAUAGGAAUUGGGACAGAACAAGUCACUUUAACUACAAUAAAUUCAAUUCUUUUUUUAAAAAAAUUGAGUAUAUGAACAUCAAUUUUUGUUUUUGAAAUUUGAUUAAAAAUUCAACUGUUGUUUCAAAUCAUUGUAAAAUAUAGAAAGAAAAUAAAAACAGAUUGUUACUAAGGAAGACCUCGAAUGAAUGAUUUUAGAAGAAUUGAAAUAAAAUCGAAUGGUGAUAGAGUUUUAGUUAAAAGAGGAAAUAUUACAAAUAAGUUAACCAGAAUCCAACAAACCACACAUCUCAUAGAAAGAGGAGAACGAAUCGGAUACAAAAGAAAACCCUAACAACAUUGCCGGAGAAGGAAGAAGACGGAAAACAAAACAAGCCAAUUAAAAACUUGGAUAUUCAAUUUAAAAAGUUUUUUAUGUAUCUAGUAAUACUAUUAAGCAAUAAAAACAAUUUUUUUUUUCUUUUGAAUCUCAACUAAAAUUAGUUAGUUUUAUGAACAUGUUUAGUUUACCAAUUUUGUAUUGGAAAAUUAUAGAAAAUAAUACAAUUUAGGAAAUAAAUUCAAAUUAUAGUACAAUGAUAAAAUAUUUGUAUAUAAAUAGUAAAUGAUGAGUAAUUUUUUUAAAAAAAAUGUCAAAUCUACCCUUUAGUAACUUAUAGUAAUUAACAAUUGGUACGGAGUUUACAAAGAUCAAUUAUCACUAAUAGUUAUCUAAAGUUUUUUAGAUAGAGAAAUUUAAAAAUAAGACCCAAAAGUAACCAAACACAAUCCUAAAAGUCUUUGAAAUUAGACUUGAUAUAUACAUAUAGGAGUUGUUAAUUAGAUUUGAAAGGUGGAAGAUAGGAAAAGUGUAUAAGAAUGUGAAGAUAUUAAUGUGUACGAGAAGUAAAAGUUUCAUAUUUGUGGGAACCCCUCAAUACCGUGUGCAUUUAAUUUUUUUUGUUUCUAAACAAUCUAGACCUUGCCGACGCCGGUGCCGGCGCCGGCAUCAAAGCCCAUAUCAUUUGACCUUUAUUUGAACCUCUCAAAGUCUCAACUUCAUGUGACAAAAGCCAAUCCUCUUUGACCAUCUUUCAAUCCUUUUAUCCCUUUCCCACUCUAAUUCUUUUCUUUAUGAAAAUAUGUUUCAACACAUAACCCUACGUUGUAACAAAAUAAACUAUAUAUCGUUAAGCUAUUGACAAAAACUUUAUAAUUCGAUAAGAAUAAUCUAAAGAAAAUGAAACUAUCACGAGCUAAUUAGAGGGUUAGAAAACUAAUUUAGUAGCUGAUAAAAUCACAUGAAUGUAUAUAUUGGUAGUGUUAACUAUUCCCACUGAAACCAAGUUUUUUAUAAUUAGUUUAUAUGUUUAUUGUUUGUUCACAUUUCUUUUUUAAAGAAGAUUCUGUCGAAAAAGAAAAUGCUUUGACUGGUACAAGAGUGCAAUGUGAAUAGAUUAAAAAUAUAAAUUUCACAAUGAUACUCUACUUUUCCUUUACAUUAUUAUUACAAUUACUUAAUUGCAUUUAGACAUAUUGAGAUGUAAAGAAAAAUAAUACUCUUAGUACAUAUUCAAAUAGAAUUUUAGAAUUAGGGAGAAGGAAGAUAGAGGUAUUAUAUGAAAAGAUAAUGCAAGAGGGAAUUGGAUCACAUUUUAGAAAAAUAAAUAAUUACAUUGAAUUUCAUCUCAGCACAAUUUAUUCUAAUUUAGUAGUACAAUUUUGCAUGUAAUUAAUGAAUUUAACUUACAAAGUAAACAUAUAUGUAGUUCAUUAAUAUAAAUUGUAUAACUUCAUUCCCCUGGAUGUUCAAGUUCUAAUUUUCAAGGUUAAAACACUUUGAAAGGCAUAUAAGAAGGGUCAUAAAAUUAUUCAGAUUUUUAGUUUUUAUUGGGAAAAAAAACUUUAUAUAAAGAAUAAAAGAUGUUAGGUUUAUUCUAGAUUGCUUUUUCCUUCUAGAUCCCAAACUUUAAAGUAACUUUCAAUAGUUAUGUCUUAUAUACUUUAAAUCCAUUCAUUCUUUUACCUUUUUAACUUUGAAAUAACUUUUACAAACCAAUAUGUUAGUUGGAUUUUAUGAAGGAAGUGAUGCUUCUAUAAAGAAAAAAUGUAAUGCGUUCUAUUUUAGGAUACAAUUAAUCAUGAAUAUGAUAAUGUAUUUAGGGUGAAUAUUAUCUUAAAGAGAUAAUGUCAAUUAUUUCUUGCACUCAAAUUCUCACAUAAGUAGAAAGAUCGAUAACUUUUUUAAUUUUUGAUGACAUAUUCAUAUAAUAAUUCAUUCUACCAUUCAAAGAUAUUUGACAUAAUAUUUGUACCAAUAAUGGUCAUCUAUACGUACCAUUAUUGAAGAUGAUAGAGAAGUAGUCACUUUCUAGAAAUAUUCAAAUAGUAGUAUGAAAAAUAUUAAUGAAUUUAUUGAUAACAUAUAUGUAAUUGAAAUAUUUAUAUAUACUUUACCCUAAAAACUAAAAAGUCACUAUAGGACAAAAGCUCAUGCUUACACAUAAUUUUACUAUAAAAUAUUAAUAUUAGGUUAAUUUUGCUAUUUUUGACAAUUUUUCUAAACUUUUUAAAAACUUUAGAUAAAUUUUGAAAUGUUUUAAAAAAUAACAAAAUAUAGAAACUAUUUAUAUUUUAUAAAUAUUUUGUAAAUAUUUUUUUUCUAUCUAUAACGAUUCUCACUUUCUUCUAACAUAUUUUUUAAUUAUUAAAAAGUAGCAUAGUUUUAUAUUUUACUAUUUUAAUGCACUUUUUACACCAUCGAAAUUAAUUUUAAAUGAUAAAAAACACAACACACUCUAAUCAAGAAGUAUAAUCCAUUUGUUACUAUGGUAAAUUUAUUGAAAUAACUCUAUUGAUUCAAGAUCGAAAACUAUUAUGUAGAUUUGAAAUAAACAAAUUACGUCGUGAUCCAAGAACAAAAAAAUGAGCAAAACUUUAAAUCUUAGAAUAUGAAAAGUUAAAUCAAGUUGAGACUACGGACAUAAACUUUGACUAAGUCCACAAUUUAAAUUAUCGAUAUUGAAACCGUACUUUGAUGUUUAUUUUUAGUGUUUUAGGACCAUUUUAGCAAUGUAACGAAAAUAUCAACUUUCAUCAGAGUUAAUAUUAAAGUCGUACUUAACUAUAUUUCAAUUAUGUCAACAAGAAUUUAUACAAUAGAUGACAUGAACGAAUUUGUUUCUAAAAGCUAAAAUUACCCAAAAAUGUACCUUCUUAUGCCAUAAAUAAUGUUUUUGUUGGGUGCAAAAUAUAUAACAAAUUAAAUAAAUAAAUAAUGUCGAUUGUAUCCAUCUCUAUGCUUCUCUUUUCAUGUACAAAAAAAAAAGAAUUAAAAAAUAAAUAUGUUUUCAAAAAAUAGUUGGAUGCAACUUAGGUUAUGCAUUAGUCUUCGUUCAUCUCCAUUAAAUCACUCAAAAAAUAUAUUUUUUUUAAAAGAAGUUUGUCACGUAACAAUUUUGUGAUUGAACACUUGUUAGUAGAUUUGAACCAAGAUAGGUCCUAGACAGACUAAAAUCUCAUAUCUUAGUAGUCUUUAGGUUUGAAGUUUAGUUUUCUUUAUCGACAUUUCUAUGUUUCAAAGUGUUACAUUUUUUGUCUUUACGUAUUGAGUUUGUAUCGAAUAUUUGAUAUUAGGUUUUAAAUGUUAAUUUACACUUUGAUUAUCAUUUAGUUUUAAUGUCUAUUAAUUAUUUUAAAAGAUUAUUGACUCAGUUUGAUUAUCUUUUUCAUUCACUGUUGAAACCAAUCUUAAAAUUUCACUUCUUCCAUCACUAUCUUAAAUUAUUUAUUAAAUAUUAAUUAACGAAUGGGAUUGAGUAUUAUUGUAAAAAAAAGUAUUAUAAAUUUAAAUAUUAUUGUAACACAAGCAGCAAAUUAAAAUAAAACUCAAACUCCACGCAUGGAAUUGCAACAUUUUUAUAUAUUGAAGUUAAACUCAAAAUUUUUAAAGAUUAAAAUCGUAACAAUAGUUUGAAUCCAACAUCAAAUGGAUUGAUCUACUGUUAUCAAUAUCACAACCCUAUCAAACCAGUAAAACAAUACAACACAUAUAUUAAAUAUAUGAUCAGGCCAACGAAUUCACGUUGUCUCCUUAAAACUAUUUUAUUCAGACUAAUGCUCGAGUUUGAGAGUAAUUGUAUCACAUGAUAGAACAUAUUAUUUUUCUUCUAGAAGGAGCAUCACAUGUAGAAGAUCAAUAACGAACAAAAACUUUGUGGAUGUACCGAACUUUUUUCUAACGAUUUUGAAAAUGAAGAGAUAUACUUUUUGGCGAAGGUAAAAUUAUAGAGAACCAAAAGCCAAUUUGUGGUCAUUCAAAUAGUUGUGUCAUUUCUUUAAAUUGGUUAUUCUCGUGAAAUGAAGCAGUCAUUUAUGAGAGACGUCAUUCCCAAGAAAAACUACAACAUUUUUAGAGAUCGAAACUAUAUUUUUCUCUCAUUAAUAAUAAAAUAUAAAUGUGACUAAAAAGCGUAAGCAAAAAGUGAAAUUUUGCAUCUUAAAUGAUAAAUUCAGGAGGAGUCUAAAGGAAGAAGAAACAAACAAACUUGUCCUUGUUGUGACAUUUAAGACCAUCACAGACGAGUUUUCCCCUUAGACCAUUUCCAUCCUUUUUAAAAAAGGACGGACUGAUCAAGAAAUUUUAGACUACUCAAUGUUUAUAAAAUAUAAACUUUAAAUUUCGUUGUUCUACUAAGUCAACUAAUAAAUAUUUAUUCAACUCUUUAUCGAUACGUAAGAUAUCUUCAGAGGACACUGGCUCAAAUUAUAGAUUUUCCAUUUUCAAUUUUCUAUCAAAUAAACCCUUCAACUUUUUAGAAGUUUGCAUUUAAUUCCUUCAUCUUUUCGUCGAAAAUUUAUGUCUUAUGUGUAAUCAAAUCAUGCUUAGGUUAACAAAUUUAAUUAUCUUACUAAUUUAACUUUUGAACUAUAUAAUAAAAUUUUCACUUUUUGCUUUGCUUUUCGAUCUUUUCAUCAAUUUUAAAUUUUUAGCAUCGUAAUUAUCUCAAAUUAAUUUAUCAACGUUAACUAGCACCAAAGUCUAGAGUUUGUACAAUGCUAAAGAAAUCAAUAUUAAAAAUAUAAAUAUCAAAUCCUAAAAAUUAAAUUAACCCAAAACUCAAAAUUUAAUAACAAAAAGUCUUUUAAACUAAAUUUAAAUCAAACUCAAAACUAAAAACACAAAUAAGCAUUAAAUUCAAACUUAGAAGAAAAGAUGAUUUUUUUCUCACAAUGACAUUCAUGCCAAAAAGAUAUAUUAGGUGAAAUUCAAACUAUAGAAAGAAAAAUGAUAUUUAUAAGACAAUUUUAUUUGUUGUUGGAGAUAGUAUAUAUAGUAAAUGAGUUAGAUGAAUUCGUGGGUGAAUAUUAAUGGGCACUAGUGGUUGGGUUUGGCUCUGACAAAAGUCACAACCAAUUAUUAAUUGGAUGCAUGCAACCUAUAGCAGACGUCAAGUUACCUUAUCAACAUUACUAUUCAAUAUCAUCCUCUUCGUUUUUCUCUCUUUAUUUUUUUAGUUUUAAGUAGAAUAAUUGGAGAGUGAUGAUGGAACCUUCGAGUUCAAGGAAAACAACCUAAAUUAAUUAUAGUUGAGAUAAAUUAUAUUGUAUUUGCAAGUAUCUUUAUAUGUUCGUUCUUUUGUUGGACUGUUACUUUUUUUUCUUUUUGUUUGUUCAUUUUCGUUUUCGUUCAAUGUAGGGUGAGUAAAGAUUCAAAUACUAAAAUCAAUUCUAGAAUAAACGUAAGAUAAACUAUAACAAAAAUCAGUAAAACAAGUGAGAGAUCUUGGAUUUGGAAUUUGAGGAUUUACGCACACUUCCAUGUCCGCCCUUGAAUCAAGGUCAAUUCAAUCAGUGAUUCCUCCUUCCACUUUCUUGCUUUCUUGUUCUCAAAUUCUUUGCCCCGUCCUCCAGACUAUGAACCACAUAGCAUUGCUCACUUCCUAUCUUUCAAAAGUUGUAAUAUAUAUUAUUCUUGAAUCUUUGAUAAAUGAUUUUUUCAACAAUUACCGUAGAAUCCAUUAAAUUAUGAAUGUUAAGAUUUUCACACGGAAUCCAAGCUUGGAAUUGUGUGACGAUGACCGACUUAAAUCGGUGCAGUGAUCUAAAUUUUUAUUUUAGGUCACAUGUUGGCAUGCAACAUCAAUUUAUGUCAAAAGUACUAAAGAAUUUCUAUUUCAACCAAAAUUUUGAAAUGUUCAUGAAAAUUCAUAGUAAUAUGGCUAAUUUUUAAAGAAUAUGAAUAAAAAUAAUGGUAAAGUUUGUAUAUUUAGAAUUGUUUAUAGGUUAGUUUUUUUUGUGAAACAUAUGAUUUGCUUGUAAAAUGUCUUUCUUUUCAUAAAGUGAUGAAUAUCUAGAUCUAAAAAUUUGAGGAUCGAAUUAAAACAAAACUCAAGUCUCGAAGGUUAUAAAACUAUAAUAUUUUAAAUUUUAGUGACUAAAUUAAAACCAAAUUCAAAAUUUAAAAACUAAAUGUGUAACAUUUUUAACAUUUUAAGACUUAUAAGUACCAAAUAAAAACUAAAUCCAAAACUUAAGGUUAAAAAAGUUUCAUAUUUUUAUAUUUUUUAAGAAAAUCAAAACAUGUGGUUGUAUUAAAAACGGUCGACUAGAAGAUGGCUUCGGGAAGGUGACAAAACAACAAAUAAAUAAUGAAAGAGAAGCAACUAACAUGUAAACUAGAAAUUUAUCUUGGCUAUGAUUUUGCUUCAACAAUCGUCCUACGAUAAGACAAAUCGAUGCCAUCUUAGAACAAACCUCCACCUUCAAAAGUAUAGGUGAGUGUUAAACAAUGAGUUAUGGUAGGUCGAUAUUUAUGAUCGAGUAUGUGAAUUUUUUGACUAAUUGUUAGGGGCCAGUUGAUGCAUGUAUAUAGUUGUACACACAAGUUGAUGUGGAUUGAAGAUUGGGUAAAGUAUGGGCCAUGAAAUCACUUUAGGACAACUAUUAUUAUUAUAAAGUCACACCAUGUGAAUAUAGAAAGAGUCCAUGCAAACAUAAACAUUAACAUUAAUAAUAGUAGCCUUUGAAGUCAAAAAUUAAAAAAUUGAAAAAACAAAAAACAAAAGCCAACAAUAAUAGCCCCCAACCCCCACCAAAUAUGAUAACAAAACUAUUCAAAAUUGCUUUUGAGUAAAAAACUACAACAAAAAUUUUAAUGCUAUAGGAAGUAACUAUUGAUUUAGAUUUGUGUUUGGCUUUGUUUUUUAGAGUCUUAUAAAUGAAAGACUUAACUUUGAGUAGUAGUUGGAAAGAUUGAUUUUGCAUAAAUUUGUUAGAAUAAUUUUUUUGUUAACCAUAUAUGUAUAUUAAAAUAAUUGAUUAGGCUAACAUAACGACCAAACAAUACAAACAACCGCGCCAACAACACACCACAUCAAAAGAGAGAAGAAAACACCAUCUAGAAAACUAUAUCUUUUUCAAAUUAACGAGUAAUCUUGAGUGGAGCCAAAACUACAAUCCAUACAUGAUCAACGAUUCAACGUAUUUGUUAUUUUUGUUGUUGCUUGGAAUUUUUAAUUUGAUUAAUUCAUUUAAAACAAUUUUUUUUUUGAAGAAAUAAAUAUUUGUUGUUGGUUGGAAAUUAGGUAGCACGUAUUCAUAUUAAAAAAAAAGCAUCGAAGGGAUGUUUAAGAGUACUUUUUCAAGGGGCAGUUUAUUAUUAUGAGUCAAGCAAAUGUGUUUUAUUAACAGGUGUUAUUGUGUUAAAUAUUAUUAUUUGUACUUAACAAAAAGUGCAUUAACAAUCUGUUUUGUUGUAUUGUUGAUGUUGAUAUUUCAUUGACAUUAAUGUACAUACCAUUUUCUUAAAUGGUUAAAUUUAGGUUUACUUGUAAAUUUAGACUUUGAUUAAAGCUAAAAUUUAGUCAAUUUUAUUAAAAACUCUUUUGAUAAAAGUUGUUUUAAAAAUAGUCAAUUUUAUUAAAAACUCCUUUGAUAAAAAGGAAAAAAAAAAAAGAAGUAAACUUUAAAAAUGUUUCAAAAACACUUUUUUGGGAACGCUAACUUUGGUUCAAAGUUAUUUAUGCAAGCCUUUGAAAAAUUAUACUAAAAUUCAUAAUUUAGAAAAUAUCAGUUAGAUAUUUGAACUUUCAAAAUUUGUAUUUAAUAAGGUAAUGGACAUAUUCAAUACCUUUUUUUUUAAUCUAUUUGAUUUCGUUAAUAAACUAUUUAUUCAAUACAAAUUGAAGCACUUAUUAACACUCUAAUGUUCAUAAACCCCUAUUCAACACAAACAAAUUAACCAUUUUUUAAAAAUAUUUUCCCCUCUAAUACAAUAUUUGUUUAAUACAUAAUGAACUUAUAACAGGCUCUUAGUUGGAGCAAUUCAGCUUCCUUCUCAUAGUUUCUCCAGUGGAAAAGCACAAAUCAAACUCGAAUUCUAACAUGUUAAAAAUACAAACAAGAAACUGAUCGAAGCUAAACUCAUAAUCCACUGCUAAAUUUCAUUGUUUCAGUCUAUACAAACCGGUUUUGUCCAGCAUCCUUCAUAACAUUUUAAGUUGUU
Molecule: long non-coding RNA, 13676 nt
Filed under: Cucumis sativus (cucumber)
Lineage: Eukaryota; Viridiplantae; Streptophyta; Magnoliopsida; Cucurbitales; Cucurbitaceae
Description: long non-coding RNA (CSAT_LNC000318)
Source: RNAcentral